Molecule: ribosomal RNA, 871 nt
Filed under: uncultured bacterium
Lineage: Bacteria
Description: bacterial SSU rRNA
Rfam family: Bacterial small subunit ribosomal RNA
Source: RNAcentral
ACACAUGCAAGUCGAGGGGCAGCAUGGUCUAGCAAUAGACUGAUGGCGACCGGCGCACGGGUGAGUAACACGUAUCCAACCUACCGGCUAUUCCGGGAUAGCCUUUCGAAAGAAAGAUUAAUACCGGAUAGUAUAGCGAGAAGGCAUCUUCUUGCUAUUAAAGAAUUUCGAUAACCGAUGGGGAUGCGUUCCAUUAGUUUGUUGGCGGGGUAACGGCCCACCAAGACAUCGAUGGAUAGGGGUUCUGAGAGGAAGGUCCCCCACAUUGGAACUGAGACACGGUCCAAACUCCUACGGGAGGCAGCAGUGAGGAAUAUUGGUCAAUGGACGAGAGUCUGAACCAGCCAAGUAGCGUGAAGGAUGACUGCCCUAUGGGUUGUAAACUUCUUUUAUAUGGGAAUAAAGUGAGCCACGUGUGGCUUUUUGUAUGUACCAUACGAAUAAGGAUCGGCUAACUCCGUGCCAGCAGCCGCGGUAAUACGGAGGAUCCGAGCGUUAUCCGGAUUUAUUGGGUUUAAAGGGAGCGUAGGCGGACUAUUAAGUCAGCUGUGAAAGUUCGCGGCUCAACCGUAAAAUUGCAGUUGAUACUGGUCGUCUUGAGUGCAGUAGAGGUAGGCGGAAUUCGUGGUGUAGCGGUGAAAUGCUUAGAUAUCACGAAGAACUCCGAUUGCGAAGGCAGCUUACUGGACUGUAACUGACGCUGAUGCUCGAAAGUGUGGGUAUCAAACAGGAUUAGAUACCCUGGUAGUCCACACAGUAAACGAUGAAUACUCGCUGUUUGCGAUAUACAGCAAGCGGCCAAGCGAAAGCAUUAAGUAUUCCACCUGGGGAGUACGCCGGCAACGGUGAAACUCAAAGGAAUUGACGGGGG